UACGGAAGGCAGCAGUGGGGAAUAUUGCACAAUGGGCGCAAGCCUGAUGCAGCCAUGCCGCGUGUAUGAAGAAGGCCUUCGGGUUGUAAAGUACUUUCAGUCGUGAGGAAGGUGUUAAGGUUAAUAACCUUAGUAAUUGACGUUAGCGACAGAAGAAGCACCGGCUAACUCCGUGCCAGCAGCCGCGGUAAUACGGAGGGUGCGAGCGUUAAUCGGAAUUACUGGGCGUAAAGGGCACGCAGGCGGUUAAUUAAGUUGGAUGUGAAAUCCCCGGGCUUAACCUGGGAAUGGCAUUCAAGACUGGUUAGCUAGAGUCUUGUAGAGGGGGUAGAAUUCCAUGUGUAGCGGUGAAAUGCGUAGAGAUGUGGAGGAAUACCGGUGGCGAAGGCGGCCCCUGGACAAAGACUGACGCUCAUGUGCGAAAGCGUGGGGAGCAAACAGGGAUUAGAUACC
This 453-nucleotide ribosomal RNA is filed under the name uncultured bacterium. Its description in RNAcentral is "bacterial SSU rRNA". It matches the Rfam family "Bacterial small subunit ribosomal RNA", at positions 340 to 786 of the family's 1533-position model. The record is from RNAcentral.